AACGCAUAUUGCGCCCUCUGGUAUUCCGGGGGGCAUGCCUGUCCGAGCGUCAUUAUCACCCUUCAAGCACUUAAGCUUGUGUUGAGCUUUAUUUUUGUUCUUUAAUGAACAGGCUCGAAAUUCAGUGGCGAUGCCGAGCUUGGUGCCCAAGCAUUAUAGGGCUUUGUCACAUGCUUUGGUGGCCCAGACCGGUAAUAUUCUGCCUAGCUAUAAUUAUAUAAACUUUAAUGACGAUUGACCUCGGAUCAGGCAAGAAUACCCGCUGAACUUAA
This 272-nucleotide unclassified non-coding RNA is filed under the name uncultured fungus. Its description in RNAcentral is "partial contains 5.8S ribosomal RNA, internal transcribed spacer 2, and large subunit ribosomal RNA". The stretch from base 1 to 52 matches the Rfam family "5.8S ribosomal RNA", at positions 103 to 154 of the family's 154-position model. The record is from RNAcentral. Lineage: Eukaryota; Fungi.